GUGGGCCCACGGGGCGCAGCAGUGGGGGAUAUUGCACAAUGGGGGGAACCCUGAUGCAGCGACGCCGCGUGGGUGAAGGAGCGUUUCAGCGCGUAAAGCCCUAUCGGCAGGGAAGAAGGAGGACGGUACCUGACUAAGAAGCCCCGGCUAACUACGUGCCAGCAGCCGCGGCAAUACGUAGGGGGCAAGCGUUAUCCGGAUUUACUGGGUGUAAAGGGGGCGCAGACGGCAGCGCAAGCCAGGAGUGAAAGCCCGGGGCCCAACCCCG
Molecule: ribosomal RNA, 268 nt
Filed under: uncultured bacterium
Lineage: Bacteria
Description: partial 16S ribosomal RNA
Rfam family: Bacterial small subunit ribosomal RNA
Source: RNAcentral